UCAUUAGGUGGAACCCAAAAUAUGGGAACAA
This 31-nucleotide non-coding RNA is filed under the name Homo sapiens (human). Lineage: Eukaryota; Metazoa; Chordata; Mammalia; Primates; Hominidae. The record is from RNAcentral.